CAGGAUUGGGUGUCCCGACUUCAUAAAUAGCCGUGGUAUGCAAGGGCCGGGCAUGAUCGGUCCCAUUUCCCCGGGGUUACACCGGCGGCCCGAGUGGUACCCGAUUUUAUUGGGUUUAAAGGGUCCGUACCCGUCUUAUAAAGUCUCUUGAGAAAUCUGGCGACUUACUCGUCAGGCGUCCAAUACAUACUGAUACGCUCGAUACCGUGAGAGGUGGUACGUACUCCAUGGGUAGGGGUGAAAUCUCGUAAUCCUUGGGGGACCACCGAUGGCUAAGUCAUCCCACCAGAACGCGUCCGAGGGUAAGGGAUGAAACCUGGGGGCACGAACCGGAUUAGAUACCCGGGUAGUCCCACCUGUCAACUAUGCUCGCCUAAGUGUCACAUGCGGUGCGACCGCAUCUGUUGCCGUAGUGAAAACUUCAAGCCAGUCACCUGGCAAGUACAGUCGCAAUGCUCAAACUUUAGGGAAUUGCCGGCGGAACCACAGAAACUUAAAGGAAUUGGCG
Molecule: ribosomal RNA, 508 nt
Filed under: uncultured prokaryote
Description: bacterial SSU rRNA
Rfam family: Archaeal small subunit ribosomal RNA
Source: RNAcentral